Oreochromis aureus is the source of this 4653-nucleotide long non-coding RNA. NCBI's taxonomy places the organism in Eukaryota, Metazoa, Chordata, Actinopteri, Cichliformes, Cichlidae. The record is from Ensembl.
CCUGUCAACAAUACUGCAACCUGAGACGGGAUAGCCAGCCAGCCAGUUGGCUAGCUAAGUAAACCAGCUAAGUUAGCUGCUCUGCUAACCAACUGUCACGACUCGUAAUUUUUCCCUUAAGUUGGCGGGAUACACUGUGUUAGAAGUUGUUUCGACAAGCGUGGAGGGAAAGCUGACUUUACGGUUUGGCUCUUUCGACUCCUUCCUCCCGUGUGAUAUGACAUCACGACUCGGUUACAAGAGAAGCUCGAGCUCAACAGCAGACGGUUGACAUCUGGUCAGGUGCCGUUCAAAAGGAUGGCUGCUCAGGUGGAGGUUCACACUACGGAGGUAGGAAGGACAGUAGCAGGAGGACGACAUCACCUGACUCCCCUCACAGACUCCAGCAAUAAGAGCCUCAUUGACAUCCCGUCUGUCAAUCAGCCGCAUGUCAUCGCAGCUGAACCAAACAAACCUGCCCCAAGCGCCAAGCCACGGCUUACUCCCAAACCUUUUUCUGUGGAGAAAAAUCCUACAAUUAAGCCCAUACUCGCCCCAAAGCCUCAAACCAAACCCCGACCUGAGUCCACUCGCCUUGUUGGAUACAAACCAGAGUUUCCAAGCAAUCCAAAACCACAGCAGCCGGUUUCCAGCAGCAAACCCAGACCACUUUUAACCAACCCCAACCGUCCUGCCUCUACCUCCUUUCGAUCACCCACUAAGUUGAACACUGGACAGACAACAAAGCCAGUAGCCCAGCCAUUUAAACCAGCUCCUCCUCAUGACACUGGAGACCCUAACAGACCCACCCCUCCUCCUGUGCCAGCACAGAGGCAGAAACCCUCAGCAUCAAGCUUGGCCUACUCAAAGAGCUUUAAAAAACUUCCAGCAGCAGAGUGGUCUGGAACCACUAAAAAAGAAGAUGAAAAAGGCCACGAUGCACAAGGUAAAGUUGGUACCUCCCUUACUAGAGCAAAGUCCAUGGGCUUUCUUCUUGAUGCAGGGCAAGAAAAUGAAGGAAAAGAAAAGGCUCAGCCUGAAACACCUGUGCCUCUGCGACCACAUCCUAGAGGCACCAAGCCCAGACCUGUAUCAGCCAUUUUCCCCGGCAGUCCAACAAAGAUGGAGAACCCGGUUCCUGCUCCUCGCUGGGCUGGGAGACGACCCCUUUCAGCUGAUCUCACUUCCAAAUUUGAGUCUAUUGGUCUUUCACUGCACCGCAAAGUUCCUGAAGCAAAUACAGUAGACAACACUCCAGAGGGAAAAGCACUACCACAAAGCAAAGAGGAAGAUAAAACCUUUAUGAGUACCACACCACAAAGUACUGAUGAUGUAUGUAAUCCCAUCCUCUCAGACCAAAGCAACAAAAACAAAGAAGAAAUGGCUGGGAAAGAGACCGAUGAAGACAAGCGCAGGGUUAGCGUCAAGUCGCGAAUAAGUCUUUUGCUCGAUUUGCCGUCUUCUCCUGGGGUAGCUGCCACCGGCCAUGGUUCAGAUCUUCACUCUCCAUUGCAGCCAACCCCUGAAGGUGAACCAGCAGUGGGUGUUAAACAGCUCAUCAAGCAGCUGACAGAGGACACAACACCGACUCAGAGCCCUGUCCUUAAACCAGCACUGAAGCCCCGUCCCUUGCCCCUUGACCUAACCAAAAGGUUUUCAGCUGAGAGGUCACCUGACCCUGUUUCCCUCACUGAGACAGAGGACCAUCAUUACAUCAGCAAAGAUCCUCAGAAGAGGGCUGAAGAGUCGGCUAUCACUCCCAGUGACCAGAAGACAUUUUUGGAUUUAAAAGAUUCCCAAGAGCAGCUCAAAAAGGUCUCCACGCCUGAAGGGCCUGAAGCAGGACAGACGUUUGGUGCUGUUUCCAAGGAAAUUGGUGCAGGCAGUGGAGUCCAAACGGUGCGAGCAUCCUUGUUUGAUAAUGUCGUGGAGAGGCACAGCGUGGUGUUGAUGGAUGAUGGCUCAUCUGUUGACACGGCCAAGGAUUUGCUCAGCAGCACGUCUCCAUUUGAUAGAACAGUUACUGAAAAUAACGGGGCUCCAGUCACAGCUAACUACAGCCAGCCUUUAUCGCCAUCAUGUCUUCAGCCCGUAUUACAUGCCUUUGACACAGUGCAGGCUGUCGAAGAGAGUCGGGCAGUGAGUGAGAGCGUCCCAUCAGCUCAGUGGGAGGAUAAGGCCAUGACCCUCCGUUCCAGACGCUCAGAAGGGAGCAGGCCUCUACCAGAAUGGACCAGUCCUGCACAAGAACAGCCACCUUUGGCACCUUUGAUGCCUCAAACACAGCCACGAUAUCUGAGGAUAGGAGCCUUACAGAAGUGGACAACUUCAGGUCUCGACCAAGACGUAGAUAUGGAAACGGGGAUGCUAAAGGAAUCACAAAGGGAGGGACAAGUGACUUUAGAUAAAGACAAGGAGAGACAAAGAGUGGCAGAACAAGAAGAAGUGGCGGCAGCACCUAAACGCUUGAAGAUGCUGCAGGCAGACGAAAUGGCAAAACCCAAGGCAACCUACUUUGCUUUAACCGGACAAAUACAGGAGCCAGUUUCUCUCGGGGGUGCAGGGACAAACACUGGGGACAUGACUAGCCCCUCUGAUGAUUUCUUAGGGAUUUCUCUCCUGAGUGGCCCUCAAGGGAAGAGUCUUCCAGUAAGGGGGAGCCAGUCUUUAAAUGAUGAUCCUUUUGGAAAAACAACUCCAUCGCAAGAGCAAGUUGAAGAUUUGAUGAUAAGAAGCCACAAGUCACCCAGGGAGAGCAGUUUAGCCUUAGAUGGACAGAGUAAAGAGGAAAGGCUAGAAGCUGAAAAGAAAAGGGAGCAAAGGAAGGAGAAAGAAAGGCACAGGACUAAGAUAAAAGAAAUUGAAAGGGAAAAACAGACACAGCUGGAAAUGGAGAAACUAGCACAUUUAGAAUUUACACGAAUGAAGGAGAGGGAGAUGCAAAGAGAAUUUGAAAGGCAAAGACAGAAGUCAUUUGAAAAGGAGAAACAAGAAUUUGAGGAGAAACAGCGUGCCCUGGAAAGGCAGAAACAGACUGAGCUUGAGAAAGUGCAAGAAUUGGAGGAGAAACAGAGACUUGAAAGAGAGAAGCAGAGGAAACUUGAGAAAGAAAAAAGGCGAGAACUAGAGAGACAAAGGGAGAGAGAGCAACACCAAAAACAAAAGGAGGAAGCGCGGCUAAAACAGUUAGAGAGACUGCAGCUCUUAGACCUUCAAAGACAGAAGCAGAAAGAAAAGGAAAUCCAGCAGCUAAAAGAAAAAAAGGAAAAAGAAGAGGCAGACAAGAUGAGACAGAUCGCAUUAGAGCAAGAAAUGUUAAGAGUAAAAGAGCUUGAAAAAGAGCGGGAAAGAGAAAAGGAGAUGGAGAAGGAGCGUCAGAAAGAGAUACAGAGGGAGCUGGAGAAACGGAGACAACAAGAUUUAGAAAGGGAGAGACAGAGGCAGCUAGACAUUGAGCAACAGGAACUGGAGAAGGAAAGGAAGAGGAAGGAGGAUGUAGAGAGACUUAAAGAGCUGGAGAGAUUACAGCUCUUGGAGUUUGAAAAGCAAAAACAGGCAGAGAGGGAGAGACAACAAAUUCAGGAGCUCGAAAAACAGAGGCAACUAGACAUUGAGCGACAGAAAUUAGAAAACCAGAGGCUGAGACAACAGGAACUGGAGAAGGAAAGGAAGAGGAAGGAGGAUGUAGAGAGACUUAAAGAGCUUGAGAGAUUACAGCUCUUGGAGUUUGAAAAGCAAAAACAGGCAGAGAGUAAGACACAACAAAUUCAGGAGCUCGAAAAACAGAGGCAACUAGACAUUGAGCGACAGAAAUUAGAAAACCAGAGGCUGAGACAACAGGAACUGGAGAAGGAAAGGAAGAGGAAGGAGGAUGUAGACAGACUUAAAGAGCUUGAGAGAUUACAGCUCCUGGAGUUUGAAAAGCAAAAGCAGGUAGAGAGGGAAAGACAACAAUUUCAGGAGCUUGAGAAACAGAGGCAACUAGACAUUGAGCGACAGAAAUUAGAAAACCAGAGGCUGAGACAACAGGAACUGGAGAAGGAAAGGAAGAGGAAGGAGGAUGUUGAGAGACUUAAAGAGCUUGAGAGAUUACAGCUCUUGGAGUACGAAAAGCAAAAGCAGGCAGAGAGGGAAAGACAACAAAUUGCGGAGUUUGAGAAACACAGACUGAGGGAAAAGAUGGAAAGGGAGGAGGCAGAACGGAUGCGAGUCAUAGCCAAGCAACAAGAAGCAGAGAGACAGCGACUAAAAGAGAAGCAGAAAAAAGAGGAGCAAGAGAGGCUAAAGUUGGAGCCAUCACCUCUGAAACCCAAAGUUCUUGAUCUGGACUCUGUGCUCAGAAAUGAACCAAUGUCUAAGUCUACUUCUCAACGCAGCGAUGCUGCAACCCGCUGGAAGGAGCCUUACAAGCCUACCAUUCUUGACAUAGACUCCUUUACAUCUCAAGCUCAGCUCUCCUCUAAUAAUGACUUGUUUCCUUCAUUGGGAAUGCAGGGACUAAAUGCUGACUUUGGGGGUAAAUUACAGCCUACACCUGAAAGUGACUUUAGCUGGAAGAUACCACCACAGACUUCAGUAGGUUUCUCAAACCCAGUAUGGACGACGCCUCCUCAGGACCCCUGGGAGCUGCAGUCAGUUGAGAUGUCUGUGGACCAGCCUAAGACUGAAUCUAGA